GAUGAACGCUAGCGGAGGCCUAAUACAUGCAAGUCGAACGGUAACAGGUAGCAAUACGCUGACGAGUGGCGCACGGGUGCGUAACGCGUACACAAUCUGCCUUAUACUGGGGCAUAGCCUUUGGAAACGAAGAAUAAUUCCCCAUAAUAUAUAGAAGAGGCAUCUCUUUCAUAUUAAAGCUCAGGCGGUAUAAGAUGAGUGUGCGUCCGAUUAGGUAGUUGGUGAGGUAACGGCUCACCAAGCCAACGAUCGGUAGCUGGUCUGAGAGGAUGAUCAGCCACACGGGCACUGAGACACGGGCCCGACUCCUACGGGAGGCAGCAGUAGGGAAUAUUGGACAAUGGGCGCAAGCCUGAUCCAGCCAUCCCGCGUGAAGGAUGAAGGUCCUCUGGAUUGUAAACUUCUUUUCUUCGGGAAUAAAAACUGGGGUUCUCCUCAGCUUGAAGGUACCGAAGGAAUAAGCACCGGCUAACUCCGUG
This 479-nucleotide ribosomal RNA is filed under the name uncultured bacterium. RNAcentral's name for it is "bacterial SSU rRNA". It matches the Rfam family "Bacterial small subunit ribosomal RNA", at positions 28 to 507 of the family's 1533-position model. The record is from RNAcentral.